CGGGUGCACUGAUCCGGCCGGGCCUUUCCCUCUGUGGAACCCCAUGGCCUUCACUGGCUGUGUGGGGGAAACAGGACUUUUACUGUGAAAAAAUUAGAGUGCUCCAGGCAGGCCUAUGCUCGAAUACAUUAGCAUGGAAUAAUAGAAUAGGACGCGUGGUUCUAUUUUGUUGGUUUCUAGGACCGCCGUAAUGAUUAAUAGGGACAGUCGGGGGCAUCAGUAUUCAAUUGUCAGAGGUGAAAUUCUUGGAUCUAUUGAAGACUAACUACUGCGAAAGCAUUUGCCAAGGAUGUUUUCAUUGAUAAGGAACGAAAGUUAGGGGAUCGAAGACGAUCAGAUACCGUCGUAGUCUUAACUAUAAACUAUGCCGACUAGGGAUCGGACGAUGUUAUUUCUUGACGCGUUCGGCACCUUUCGAGAAAUCAAAGUGCUUGGGCUCCAGGGGGAGUAUGGUCGCAAGGCUGAAACUUAAAGAAAUUGACGGAAGGGCACCACCAGGGGUGGAACCUGCGGCUUAAUUUGACUCAACACGGGGAAACUCACCAGGUCCAGACAUACGGAGGAUUGACAGAUUGAAAGCUCUUUCUAGAUUGUAUGGGUGGUGGUGCAUGGCCGUUCUUAGUUCGUGGAGUGAUUUGUCUGGUUAAUUCCGAUAACGAACGAGACCUUAUUCUGCUAAAUAGACAGACUCAUUUUUUAAUGGGGUUGAAGGCUUCGGUCUUUGCUGUCUU
RNAcentral lists this ribosomal RNA (731 nucleotides) under uncultured eukaryote. Its description in RNAcentral is "SSU rRNA". It matches the Rfam family "Eukaryotic small subunit ribosomal RNA", at positions 670 to 1409 of the family's 1831-position model. The record is from RNAcentral.